RNAcentral lists this long non-coding RNA (353 nucleotides) under Mesocricetus auratus (golden hamster). Its description in RNAcentral is "HOXA transcript at the distal tip, conserved region 3 (ENSMAUG00000002235.1)". It matches the Rfam family "HOXA transcript at the distal tip, conserved region 3". Lineage: Eukaryota; Metazoa; Chordata; Mammalia; Rodentia; Cricetidae. The record is from RNAcentral.
GGGGGGGGUAGGGACUGCACUGAUUCUUCUGUGCGGCUGCCUUGCUCCUAGCUGGGUUUUUUGAGUCUCCGAAGUUUUCCAGAGAGAUUCGGAAAAAAACGAAAACACAGCUCGGGAAGCCUCCACCAGCUGAUUCCUAUGCCAGUUCACCUCUGGCAAUGGCUGGACUGCUGGAACCCAGAGCAGCCAAGACCAACUUCGCAUUCUUCCCGCCCCCUCAUUUCACUGGAGCCGGGAGCCCUGCGCUCAGGGGAAGGGCCUCAGCUCUACAGACUGCCAAAGUCCGCUGGGUCUCUCCACUCCAAAAAUGGUGAGAAAGGAUGUCAUCUUUUUCGCAGAGGAGCCAGAAGCAG